AAGUCGUAACAAGGUUUCCGUAGGUGAACCUGCGGAAGGAUCAUUAACGAGAUAGGGUUUCUUCGGAGCCCGACCUCCAACCCAAUGUCUACCAUACCUCUGUUGCCUCGGCAGGCCGCCGGUCCUCCUUUAACGGGGGUGCCGCCGUCGGUCCUUACGGGCUUUCGAGCGCCUGCCGCAGGGAUAUGCAAACUCUUUUUUAAACCAGUAAUCUGAGCGGGAAAUCAAUAGCAUUAAAACUUUUAACAACGGAUCUCUUGGUUCUG
RNAcentral lists this unclassified non-coding RNA (266 nucleotides) under air metagenome. RNAcentral's name for it is "partial contains small subunit ribosomal RNA, internal transcribed spacer 1, and 5.8S ribosomal RNA". The stretch from base 1 to 46 matches the Rfam family "Eukaryotic small subunit ribosomal RNA", at positions 1786 to 1831 of the family's 1831-position model. The record is from RNAcentral.